GUCAGGAUGGCUCAGUUGGUUAAAGUGUGGUGCUGAUAACGCCAAGGCUGCAGGUUCAAUCCCCAUUAAAGGGGGUUGGACU
Non-coding RNA from Podarcis lilfordi (Lilford's wall lizard), 82 nucleotides. NCBI's taxonomy places the organism in Eukaryota, Metazoa, Chordata, Lepidosauria, Squamata, Lacertidae. The record is from the annotation of a GenBank genome assembly.